AAACUGCGAUAAGUAGUGUGAAUUGCAUUUAGUGAAUCAUCGAAUCUUUGAACGCACCCUGCACUCACUGGUAUUCCGGUGAGUACGCCUGUUUCAGUAUCAUUGAAAACACACAAUCAAAACAUUUUCUUUGGUUUGAUUGGCUUUGGGUCUAUCAAAAAGUUUGGCUUGUUUCUUACAAGCCAAGCGGCCUGAAAUAUAUUGUCUGGCUAAUUGCAUCGUUGAUGAUCGCUAUUAGACUUUGGAUUUUUUAAAUGAACUGGAGGUUGAUUAACCAGUUUUAGCUUUAGUCAAAUGGUCAUUGUAAAAAAAAUCUCGAUCUUGGCUAGGUGUUUAUAGCCGAAAAUUUUUUUUUGGCUAUAACCGAAACCAAUAUAAUCACAUUUAGUUAUCGAUCUGAAAUCAGGUGGGACUACCCGCUGAACUUAAGC
RNAcentral lists this unclassified non-coding RNA (431 nucleotides) under plant metagenome. RNAcentral describes it as "partial contains 5.8S ribosomal RNA, internal transcribed spacer 2, and large subunit ribosomal RNA". The stretch from base 1 to 102 matches the Rfam family "5.8S ribosomal RNA", at positions 50 to 154 of the family's 154-position model. The record is from RNAcentral.